GCCUCUAUAGCUCAGUGGUAGAGCGCGUCACUCGUAUUGAUGCUAUUCUACGGUAUUAAUAAUAUGCGAUAUGACGAGGUCCAUCGUUCGAUCCGGUGUGGAGGCA
Molecule: transfer RNA, 106 nt
Filed under: Hypoxylon rubiginosum
Lineage: Eukaryota; Fungi; Ascomycota; Sordariomycetes; Xylariales; Hypoxylaceae
Description: tRNA-Thr
Rfam family: tRNA
About the family: Transfer RNA (tRNA) molecules are approximately 80 nucleotides in length. Their secondary structure includes four short double-helical elements and three loops (D, anti-codon, and T loops).
Source: RNAcentral